This 485-nucleotide ribosomal RNA is filed under the name uncultured bacterium. Its description in RNAcentral is "bacterial SSU rRNA". It matches the Rfam family "Bacterial small subunit ribosomal RNA", at positions 327 to 805 of the family's 1533-position model. The record is from RNAcentral.
AACCGAGAACUCCUACGGGAGGCAGCAGUGGGGAAUUUUGGACAAUGGGCGCAAGCCUGAUCCAGCAAUGCCGCGUGCAGGAAGAAGGCCUUCGGGUUGUAAACUGCUUUUGUCAGGGAAGAAAUCCUUUGGGCUAAUACCUCGGAGGGAUGACGGUACCUGAAGAAUAAGCACCGGCUAACUACGUGCCAGCAGCCGCGGUAAUACGUAGGGUGCGAGCGUUAAUCGGAAUUACUGGGCGUAAAGCGUGCGCAGGCGGUUGUGUAAGUCAGACGUGAAAUCCCCGGGCUCAACCUGGGAAUUGCAUUUGAGACUGGACGGCUAGAGUGUGUCAGAGGGGGGUAGAAUUCCACGUGUAGCAGUGAAAUGCGUAGAUAUGUGGAGGAAUACCGAUGGCGAAGGCAGCCCCCUGGGAUAACACUGACGCUCAUGCACGAAAGCGUGGGGAGCAAACAGGAUUAGAAACCCCAGUAGUCCGACUGAGA